Non-coding RNA from Paramuricea clavata, 1769 nucleotides. NCBI's taxonomy places the organism in Eukaryota, Metazoa, Cnidaria, Anthozoa, Malacalcyonacea, Plexauridae. The record is from the annotation of a GenBank genome assembly.
UUGCUGUCAGAAACAUGACAAUUGUUAUGGCGACCUUAUCACGAACAAGAAAUGUAAAUUACAGUUGUCCACCUAUACGAUCACUUUCAAAUAUCAUGGUUGCUCCAAUUGCGGUAAGAUUUUAUGUAAUAUUUCAAAUUCAAAAAUGGGGGUCACAUAGCGAAUCAGGCUUUAAUUAAUAUGACCCAGAAAGCUACUCUAUUGGUCAACAUCACAAUAUUUGGGCAUCUCAUCCGACUGAACGAUUGUUCAAGGAUAUAUUGUAGAUGGAAAACUCGAGUGUAAAUUGGAUAUACACAAUUAUUUAAACCUGGCCAGGAGCAAAUCAUGAUAUUUACCCUUAGGGACCGUUCAUUAGUUAUACCCGGCGUUGGUACCGAAGAGAUAUGCUUUGGGUAAUCAAGUUUUUGACUAGCUUGGGUAAAAAAAAUAUGGCUGUCUGUCAGCUAUAAAAAAAAAUCCAAAAUUACCAUGCAUUGGAAAAUAUGAAGAAAAAUAUGUACAAUACAUUAUGUACCAAAACUGAUAGACCAUCAGUGAUCGAGGAGGGACUCUAUCAUUGAUCAGCAGGAACGUGAUUGCUUUGGCACACUCAGUGAGUUUGAAUCUGAGUGAGCUUUUAGAAUUUAGGCAACUUGAUUUCUGUCACCAUAAUUUUGUGUGUUUAAUUAUUAUGAAGUACAGUAACACAUGGGUCGGGGUAAACAUUAUUUUGACCAAUGUUGAGGUUGGGUAAAUAAAAUAUUUACACUGUUUUUCGCUUCUCUUCAGUACCAACCGCGAGUAUAAAUAAUAAACGGUCUCUUAUACCUUACCAUGGCAUCACUUCAGUAUAAAUAAAUGAACCUACGUGUACACUUUGAGGAAAACCGGACUUUGUACUUCAUUUGGUUAGAGCCCCGCAACUGAAUCACAGCCCGCAGAUCCGAUUCCUGUCAAAAGGCCUAUGGUUGCAUUUUUUUGCCGCUGCUAUUGGCUGAGUCUAAAAAUUGUAUUAGAUUUGAGUAGCAGUUUCCAUCUGCAAAAUUCAUUAACAGGCUGCUCUAUUUUCUGUCCUGAAUUAAAGGCACACACCACAACCAUAAUGCAUGUGUAACGGAGUGCGCAUCCGGUUCUUCAAAGCUCGGUUAGCGCUAAUCUGCGUACCUUACCGAAGACACUACUUGUUGGACUGAAUACUCACCACCGCGUCCAAACGAAAACUAGAAGCAGGCUAAUUGCUAAAAGCAUGCUAAUUUAUAUGACCGAUUUACUGAUCUUACAAUUAGUUAUAGACGUAAUAUUACCCAAAUUAGCGUCAUCCGCGCAACUACAAAUAUUCACCCACGCACGCUAUUCUUGACUAGUUAAAUGACCUCGAGAUGCUUUGCUCAGUUGUGUAUACCAUACGAUUUAUCAGAUUUCUGAAGAUAUUUUUCAAUUGAACGUAUGGUACAUUAUUGUUACCAGUAUAACCGAUGCAUAACGUUUUUCUUUUAAUUUAGCUGCGACGAGCGAGUACUCUUGGUGGGAUAAAUUGGGAUACGAAUCAGUGAAUUGCCGCAAAGGGUUGUGUGAUUGUGAUGCUGAAGCUGCGAAAUGCUUCAAGAGAUCGGGUUACAAUAACCGCUUUUAUAACUAUGACCAGAGUAAAUGCUAGUAGAUAGACCAUGAACAAAAUCGAUAAAGUAGUAAUUCUCCAUAGUUAUAAUACAUUCAAUAGUAUAUAUAAUGCAUUAAUUUUGUAAAACAAUUAACAAUAUUAAUAAUUAAUUUGCACUAAUACUUAA